GGCGGUCCUGAUCACAGGGAGAAACUCUUGCCAGCUCGUUUGCUUCUGCAGACAAGCACUGUGCUUAAAGAAGUGUAGGUUGUGUGGAUACUGAACACACCAGCGUGGGACGGGGACUAGCCAGUGCACCCACAUCUCCUCUGAACCUCAGUAUGCUUGUAACCAGACAGGACACGACUGAAGAGAACUCAUGAAAUAAAAGAAGUGCUUACAGGAGCAGCAGACUACAGGAAAGCAACAACCACCGAAUUCUGGGAUGGUGGUCUAUCCACUUAAAAUAAUGUAUAUUUGUUUCAGUAUGGCAAAAGAAACAGAUAAUCUCUUGGGCUGAACAUCUUUACCACCAGCGCAUACUCUGCUGUUUCUCCUCACACCCCUCAACACUAUAUGUAACAUAUACUGACUCUUAAUGGAAAUUGUACAUCUACACCUCACCUACGUUGUGCCCAGAAGUCAAAGGAUGUUUUCACGUGGAUGCAAUCAAGCUGGACUUCUGACUCUAACUCUAGCUCAAAUCCAUCUAGAAAUCUUGGGGGACAUAAAGGCUCAGAGCUAUCCAUAAGGUGAAACACUUUAUUAUCUGUCCAAGUAACUUAGUGCAAAGAGCACUGCUUUUCACUGGAUUGGUAGGUAGGUGAUCUAUGGCCCAUUCACACAUUAUGUUUAACACUCAUACGAGUGUACAGUGUACACAGGUACAGUCCUAUACAUAGGUACAGUCAUUCACAUGUUAUGCUGAAUGCAGGUAAAAGUACACUUUCUAUCUGUACCAUAUAUUUUAAGGGAAUGUAUUCAGGUUCACUUUUAAAAUGAACACAGGUACAGUCAUUCACACAAACACGUGAACGAGUGUACAGACAUCUAUACACUUGUACAGCAUAAUGCCCAAAUUGGGCUUUAGAGAGAGGCUAAUCUUUGUUUGUAGUCUUUGUCCUAUAAAGAUAUAGUUAAGGUAUUUGAAGAGCACAAAAGUAAAAUUGAACUCCCACAUAAACUGUGUACAGCUAUUUCAGUAGAUUAAUAGAAUGGCUCACCGUAUCCCACUUUGCAUUCAUCUUUUCCUUCUCAAAUUUUGCAAAUUCUCUUCUGUCAUGAAUGAUCAUAAGUAGUUUCCAAAUUAGCAAUAAAGCAAGACCAAUAAGAACAAUUCCAGCAACCACACCAGCAACGAUGGGAAUGAUGUCAGGACCAGCUGGGCAUUCUAGCAAACAAAAUAGUUGAAGCACAAUUUUAGCAUAACAUACAAUCAACACUGUGAAAACGUGAAAUGAGCUGUGGGCUAUAAAGUAGUACAUUUAGCUGAUAAAAUGUCUGAAUAAUUUGUGCUUAAUUAAGAGUAUAAUUACAGAUAAUUAUCAAAUUAAUGCACUGUGAAUGUAUAAAAUCAAAGUGUUUAAUACCAAUUAAAGAAAAUCAAGAGUG
Long non-coding RNA from Hemicordylus capensis (graceful crag lizard), 1422 nucleotides. RefSeq lists it as uncharacterized. The record is from RefSeq and is a predicted model, not a curated record. The transcript has 3 exons. NCBI's taxonomy places the organism in Eukaryota, Metazoa, Chordata, Lepidosauria, Squamata, Cordylidae.